GACGAACGCUGGCGGCGUGCUUAACACAUGCAAGUCGAACGGAAAGGCCCUGCUGUUGUGGGGUGCUCGAGUGGCGAACGGGUGAGUAACACGUGAGUAACCUGCCCUUGACUUUGGGAUAACUUCAGGAAACUGGGGCUAAUACCGGAUAGGAGCUCCUGCUGCAUGGUGGGGGUUGGAAAGGUUCGGCGGUUGGGGAUGGACUCGCGGCUUAUCAGCUUGUUGGUGGGGUGGUGGCUUACCAAGGCUUUGACGGGUAGCCGGCCUGAGAGGGUGACCGGCCACAUUGGGACUGAGAUACGGCCCAGACUCCUACGGGAGGCAGCAGUGGGGAAUAUUGCACAAUGGGCGGAAGCCUGAUGCAGCAACGCCGCGUGCGGGAUGACGGCCUUCGGGUUGUAAACCGCUUUCGCCUGUGACGAAGCGUGAGUGACGGUAAUGGGUAAAGAAGCACCGGCUAACUACGUG
This 468-nucleotide ribosomal RNA is filed under the name uncultured bacterium. RNAcentral describes it as "partial 16S ribosomal RNA". It matches the Rfam family "Bacterial small subunit ribosomal RNA", at positions 28 to 507 of the family's 1533-position model. The record is from RNAcentral.